ACCAGGACACAUCCUUCUACCAGCACCAAAUGGUAACAACUCAAAAUCAUGUCCUUUUACAUCUAUAUCUUUACCAAGAAACCUCUCAGGCAUAAAUUCAUAUGGAUUCUCCCAAACCUCAGAAUCUCUUGCAAUUGUCCAAGUAUUGACAAGAACUAUAGUCCCUUUGGGAAUAUCGUAACCAUCAACUUUGCAAUCCUCUCUAGCUUCUCGUGGCACUAAAAAUGGUGCCACGGGAUGUAGCCUCAUUGUUUCUUUAGCAAUUGCGUAAACAUAAGGUAAAUUCGCAAUGUCUUUCUCUUCAACCCAUCUAUCUUUUCCUAUCACUCUAUCUAGCUCCUCGGUUGCUUUCUUGAAGAUCUCUGGUUUUCUAACCAGCUCGGAGAUUGCCCAUUCUACUGUUACUGCGGAGCUCUCCGUCCCUCCGGCAAUUAAGUCCUGAGGAAAAAAAAUACAUAACAAAUAAGUUAGCACAUGAAAAAAUUUAAAUCGUUAAAAUGUGUCAGGUCGGACCAACCCAUUUAACAAGAGCAAAAUUUAGAGUUGUAUAUGCUAGUAAUUUUCGUCUGUCUUCUAAAACUAAUUUGUGUAUCUCUUAAAUCGAUGGAUUCAUUGAGCUAGCACAACAAAACAUACUUAAUUAGGUUAAACUUGGCACCACUUGUAUAAUUAGUAAAUAAAAAAUAUACAGACAUAAGGGUAACAAAUGUGGCAAGAUAAGAGCAAGUUAAUUUAGUUAGCCCCACGAAUACAAUAUAUUGAAUAAAUAAGUGAUAUUUGGAGCUAUCAAGCAAAACUGGAAUUGCGUUAAACAGUUAAUCUCUAAAUUAUGGUUUGGAUUUUUGUUUUAGAAAUAUGACUUUUCAACUUCCCAUCAUUUCCACGAAGAUGCAAGCAUCAAUUGGACCACCCACCCAUGCACUAAGGAUAAUAAUUUCUAUUUUGAAAAAUUGACAUGAUAUUUAUUUAAUACUUAAUAGUAUUAUUUAGGUGGAUUGUCUAAUCAUUGAAAAAAGUAAUUUCAUAAUUAAACAAAGGAGUAUUCUCAAUCAUAAACGUAACCACCUAAAAGAAAAUACCACACCAAAAAAGAACUAAAGAAAAUAAAAGAUUCAAUCACUUCAUACCUGAGUAAAAGCUUUGACUCCAUGCCUCUCCAGUUUGACUUCAAGAUUAGGAUCCUCAGCAAGCUGCAAAAGUACAUCCACCAUAUCUUUAGCAACAUAAUCCUUCACAUUUUUCCUUCUUUCAAUGUGUUCUUCCAAUACAUGUUCCAUAAACCUAUCAAACUUUUUACUCAAAGUCUUCAUCCUCUUCACAUAACCUUGCAAGUCUAAGAAAUGAAUCCAAGGAAUAAAAUCCCCAAUAUUGAGAAUUCCAUUAAGUAAAAACAACUCAUCCAACAUCUUCUUAAACUCAUCAGGGGAAAUAACUGCAUUAUCAGUCUUUUCCAAGUACUUUUUCCCUAGCACCAUUCGACUUAUAACAUUUAGACUCAAAGUUGAAAGAUGGUCUUUCACCAAAAUUGUUUUGUUUUUUGAAUUGAAAAGUUUAUGCAAAAAAUCAUGCAUCUCUUGUUUUCUUAUGUACUCGUAAGACUCGAGGCGUUUUGCACUAAACAACUCCAAUAGACACAUUCUACGAGCUUGACGCCAAUAUGGACCAUAUUGAGACCAAGUUAUGUCUGAAUAGUUAUAUGUUGUGUAUUUUCCAGCCGACAAUUUGGGCCGGCCGGCAAGAGUAGCAUCAUGGGUUUUGAGGAAUGAUUUGGCUAGUUCUACGGUGGCGCCCACAAUGACGGGUUUCGAGCCGAAAUAUAGAUGCAUGAUGGGUCCAUAUUUUUGAGUGAGGCCAUGGAGGGAUUGAUGUGGGAGGGAUCCGAUAAGGUUGAGAUUUCCAAUUAUAGGCCAUGGUUUUGGGCCUGGUGGUAGAUUGUAUUUGUGGCGGCGGAGGCGGCGGCUGAAGAGGAGGAGGAUGACAAAUGUUGCAAACAAUGUGACCCAACUAGGAAGUUCCAAUAAUUGCACUGGCUCCAUAAUUGGUCGAUUUUGUGACUUUCUUUUGGUGUGAAAUUAGAGAGGGUUAUGUGAGUGAGUUUGAAGGGUGUGUGUGGGUCAUUAUUUAUAUGCAUGUGAUAGUGAGAAAGCAAUAGCUCGAGGACCCACAUGAGGUUCAACAAACUUUCCAUCAAUACACAUGUUUCUUGGUGAUCGGGCAUGUAUAAGGGACUAUUUUUCCACUCACAUGAAUCAAAUAAUACUACUCUAAUCAAUAAACAAAGCUUAACGAAGACUCCAUUCAUACAUAUAAAGUUGUUUUUAUUCGAACUCAUAUUUUUCGGAACGACUCCUUGUUAACAAAAGUUUAUUAAACAACAAUAUUUACUUAAUUAUCUCCAAAUAUUUUUGCCAACAAUCUCCAAAUGUUUUUAUAGGCAAAAUUCAAAUAUAUGUGUUAGUGAAACUCAAUGUUCAAAUUAAGGAAAUUAAAAGUAGACAUGACAACAUGAACCACACUCGCUUGAACCCAUUUGAGUUAGUCUCGACUUUGAUGGAAAAUCCUCCCUUUAAUUGGGCGAGGGUGUGGGAUUUAUCUAUUAUUCUAAAUUAGGGUUAUGAUGUUGAUAUCUUCUUCGGAGCUGUCUCAUUAGUAAAAAGUAUUUUUUCAGAUACAUAUAUUUAUUCAUUUUAUUUAAUAUUUAUUUAAUUAUAUAUUGUAAAUUUUAAUUUCUUCUUGAUAGAAAAUAUAAUUUUAAUAUAAUUUUAUUGUAUAUAUCUAUGUCAGGAAUGCAGUGGUAGAGGGAGGAGUGGCCCCUAAGUUCUAUGGCCACCAUCAUUUAUUUUUGAGAGGACCACCAUAAAAUUUUAAAUUUUACUUUUAACACUCAAGAUAGAUAAACUAUAAAACAUUAUGAGCAUGUAACUUUAAAAGUCCCAAUGGUGCAAUUCAACAAGAGUAUGUUGCCACAUUGCCACCUGUCAAACAAUUAUUUCAGGAAGUAACAAUGCCGCCACAUUGUCGAUCUUUUGUUGAACUCUAGUGUCCUUAAGCUUCAUGUAUUGUUAUAAAAUUAUUUACUUAAACGUAGAAAACAUACAUCAUGUCCACUAACUUAUUCUGAUAAAUAUAAAUUAAUUAGGUAUAACUAACCCAUUCAACCUUAUUUUUACAAUAGUAACUUAUAUUAAAUUUAAGGUCAUCUUGUCCGUUUGCAAGCAGGAUCCUGGCAAAUCGAUAAAACUUUAUUUGUUAAAACAAGAAUAAGUGGGCCCAUCUAAAAUAAUUGAAGAGUAAGUGGAAGACAAUUGACCUGUAUAUUUUGAUCUUUCAAAAAUAAUUUCGAGUUGCCAAACUAAAAUGGACUCACUGCCUAUUGUUUCUUGGAUUGUUGCCAUUGCAAUUUCACAGAAAUUUCAAUAUUGAUUUAUUGACUUAGAAUUUGCAAAGUAGUUUAUUCCAUUGACCUUGACUCUUGACUCUUGAGUCUACAUUCACAUAGUGUAACGGUGUUAUUUCUUGUUCAUACUCGGCGGUCUCAUAAACUUUGUCAUGUUAGGUUGUGUAUAACCCUAACUAAUUACAGUCUCUAAUAUACUAUUUUUUAUUAUGAAUAGCCAAAACUAUGAUUAGAUAAUGCAAAAUAUAGAAGAAUAUAGAUAAAAUAGACAAGAAAUAAGAAUAAAAUAUUUGCUUUAUACUCCUUAAGUCCGGUGUCUCUUUACAAUGCAAUGAGUCCUAUUUUUAAGACAUAAACCUUAUAGGUUACAAGUAAGUGAAAAAUCACAUUGAAGACAAUUAACGAUUAAUAGGUCAUCCACUCAUGAAAAUUCUUGAUCAUACUAGUGGAAGACUAAAGAAAACGGGCAUCCACAAAUACAUAUGUUUAAAACACACCCCUUCAAUGAAACCUGGUACAUACAUAGUACGGGUGUGAGUAAGAUAUGUAUGUUUAAAUAUGUAUAAAAUUUAAAAUUCAAGAUACGAUACACCUAAGAAACAUUAAUGAAUUUUUUAUCUUAAAAUUUAUAUGCAUGUAAAAUAUUUGAAAGAAAUAAGCAUCGAUUAAUCUUCAUUAAUAUAUAAUUAUAAAAUUACAAAUUAUAAAGCGAAACUCAUCAACUUUGCUUUUAACUACCAAAUGUGGUGGCUCAAUCUCUUUUAUGUUUGUGAUUGUUUCUUUGCUUUCUUGUUGGUGAUUUUCACCUAUUCUGAUGUAACAUUACUUUUUCUUUGUUUCUCUCUAGCACUCCUUGUGCAAAGAAAGUAAAGUCAUUUAGUUAUAUGUAAUUCUAUUAUAGCUUCUUAAAAAAAAGGGUAAUUUAAGUUUUUGGUCCCUAUAAAUAUCUGCAGUUUUGUUUUUAAUCCCUAUAAAAAUAAAUCACACUUUUUUAGUCCCUACAACAUUUUCCGUUAGUGUUUUUAGUCCCUGUUAAAUUAAAAUUUGUUUAAUUAUGCUUUAAAUUUUAAAUUUUUUAAUGUUUUUUUACAUAGUUGUUUAAAACAUUAUACAAGGUUCCGCCACAAUAAAUUAGCUCAAAAUUUUAUUUUUAGGUUCAAAUUUUUGUUAGUUUUAUCUUGAAUUUUUGGCGUUUUAAAAAAAUUAUAUUUAAUUUAUUACAUGUUAAAAAAUUCUAAUUUUUUAUAAAAGAGAUUAUUAUAAUGUUCUUAACAUGUCUGUUAAAAAUCAUUUAAAAAUAUAAAAGUUUAAGUAUAAUUAAACAAAUUUCAAUUUAACAGGAACCAACACAUACUUUUAGUCCUUGUAAAAUUAAAAUUUGCUUAAUUGUGCUUAAACUUUUAAAUUUGUAACAUAUAUUUUUCACAUACUUACUUAGAAUAUUAUACAAAGUUUCUCCGCAAAAAAGUAACUUAAAAUUUUAUUAUUAGGUCCAAAUUUUCAUUAAUAUAAUCUUGAAAAUUUGGCUUUUAGAAAAAGGCUAAAAUAUGGUUUUGGUCCCUGCAAAUAUGUCUCGUUUUGGUUUUAGUCCCUGCAAAAAAAGAUUGUUGUUUUUAGUCCCUGCAAAUAUGCCUCAUUUUGGUUUUGGUCCCUGGCUCCACUUUUGUGAUGAUUUGCACACGUGGCACAUGAUGACUGAACCCAUUUAUUAGAGAAAUAGUCUCUGCAAAAUCUUUUGAUUUUGAAAAAGGUCCCUGCAAAAUAUUUUGUUUUUGGAAAUAGGCAGGGACUAUUUCCAAAGACAAAAUAUUUUGCAGGGACCAAAAACAACAAAUUUUUUUUACAGGGACUAAAACCAAAACGAGGCAUAUUUGCAGUGACCAAAACCAUAUUUUAGCCUUAGAAAAAUUUAUAUUUAAUUCAUUACAUGUUAAAAAACUAAUUUGUUUUACAAAAGAGUGUCUUACGAUGUUAUGAACAUGUUUGUAAAAAAUCUUUCAAAAAUUUAGAAGUUUAAGCAUAAUUAAACAAAUUUUAAUUUAACAGGGACUAAAAACACUAACAGAAAAUUUUGUAGGGACUAAAAAGUGUAUUUAUUUUUAUAGGGACUAAAAACAAAACUGCAGAUAUUUAUAGGGAUCAAAAACUUAAUUAAUCCUAUAAGUAUUCGAUAAAAUAUUUUAAAAAUUAAUUUUGAUAUUUCGUAUGCAUGUAUCAGUGAAUAUCCGCAAAGUAUUAAUAUCUAAUAUGGAUAUAUCUCCAUAUUUGAUGUAUUUAGCUUCAUAAAUCUCCCUUAUAUGUCAAUUGCGAAUGUGCAUCGUUAGAAUCUUAAAAAAAAAAAACUCAAUUAAACAAUAAUCUUACUGAAGAAAAAAAAGAGCAGCAUCUACCUCCUCUACAUAAAAACACGUGUCAUUAAAAACCUUACUUGAAAAUUCAAUGAGAAUGUAUGUGUUUCUCCCAAUAUCAACUAUACUGUAAUCUCUUCGAUGACAAAACUGUUAAAAAGACUGUUGUAGUCAGAUGCUUGUAGAGGUUGGUAAUAGUCAGGUUCCUCGACAAGGCACUUUUGAUCAAAACUGUUAAAAAAGAUCAAAGUUUGUACUGUUGAUGGUACGAUGAGACUAGAGCAAAAACAAACAUGUUUCUUGGACCGAACAGUAAAUGGAGUCUGGCAUGACUUUGACAAGUAAUACACCUUCCGUUUUAAAACGAGUAACGUUUAAGAUUUUUAUAUACAAAUUAAGAAAUAUAAUAAUGAUGUUAAAAAAUAUGACAAUUUUACUAAACUAAUACUAUUUACCAUUGGUGCAAGUUUUUGGAAGUAAUGUAUAUUUAAUUAAUUAGAGAGUACAAUUGGAAGUAAAAUAAUAAUUCUACAUUAAAAAGUGUAACUGACAUUCAUUUUAAAAUAAUUUUAUUUCGCUAAAACGAUACUCAUUUUAAAAACUGAGUGAGUGUAAAACAUUUGGAGAGGUGGUUACUAUAAUCGUAGCUUAGUUAGAUGGUUAUAGUGGUUUAAAUUGGAUUAAAUCUUUUAUAGUGGUUUAAAUAUUAAAGAUGGUAGAAUCUCUCUUUUAUAUAGUGGAGAACUUUAGAUAUAACAAUAAUUGAUAGUGAACCAAUGUAAAAAUAUGUUUUCGGUGGCGGAGUCAGAAAAAAAAGUUUGGGUGGGCCACAAAAAUUAUCCGUUGAAAAAUUGUUUAAAGUCUUGCAAAAUAGACAUAUAAUUGAAUUGUUUAAAUUUUUGGGUGGAUCACUACACCACUUUGCGGGAAUUUAGAUUAACCGAAAACUGAUAUAAAAUUUUAUAAAAUCUCGCAAAAUAGACCUAUAAUUGAAUAUUUAAAUUUUUCGGGUGGGUCACUACAUCACUUUUCGGGAAUUUGGAUCAACCGAAAUCUAAAACCGACACAAAAUUGUAUAAAAUCUCGCAAAAUAAACCUAUAAUCGUUGAUUUUUUAAUUUUUCGGAUGGGCCACAACCAUUGUGUUCUUCUUUUCCAUUUCUCUUUUUAUCUUUGUAUUUUUUUUAAUGUCUUUAAAAAUGUUUUUCAUCGAAGUCUUUUAAAUUAAGGAUUAACUGAUAGUUUAAAGAAGAAAAAUAGUCUACACAAUUCAAACUCAUUCAAUGUGUUUUCUAGCACAUUCCCUUCUAUGCAAUAAGGAAUGUCACAUAGUUUUUUUUCUAUCCGUAGUUUCUAAGAAAACAAAUAUAAGAGUACCAAAUGGAUUCCAUCAAAAAACAAAAAACAAGAGAGAACAUAAUAUACUUUUUUUUUAAUAUUACAACUUUUUUUUUUUUGGUGUCCAAGGCUCGAAUCCUGGACCUUACGUAUAUUAUGUAUUGUCCCUUCCAACUGAGUUAAGCUUACGGAGACAAAUAAUAUUACAACUCUGAAAAGGGACUCAUUUUUCUUUGACAAAAUCAAGGGGACUCAUUACUAACUUCAACAUUCAAACACCAAUAUUUUUUAUUCACAGUCAUGCUUGUUUUUUUUCUUGUCAUUAAGUUAAUGACAUUGAACUCACACAAAUCCCAUUAUUCCCAAUCUUAUUAAAGAAAAAUUCUUAGAGGGAGUAAAGAUGAUGAGGAAGUCUAGGCUCCACAACAACUUCUAGUGGUAUUUUCCUAGGAGUAGUCAGCCCAAAAAUCUCCUCCAUAUUCAAAUCCUCUUUCUUCAUAUCAUUAGGUAAUCUCCAAUUAAAUCCAUGCAACAAAUUAGCCAAACUUGAUUGUAUCACCUUAAGACCAAGAGGAUAACCAGGACACAUCCUUCUACCAGUACCAAAUGGCAACAACUCAUAAUCAUGUCCUUUUACAUCUAUAUUAUUACCAAUAAACCUCUCAGGUAUAAACUCAUAUGGAUUGUCCCAAACAUUAGGAUCUCUUCCAAUUGUCCAAGUAUUGACAAGAAUUAGAGUCCCUUUUGGGAUAUCAUAACCAUCAACAUUGCAAUCCUCACUAGCUUCUCUUGGCACUAACAAUGGUGCUGCAGGAUGAAGCCUCAUUGUUUCUUUAGCAAUUGCAAAAACAUAAGGUAAAUUGACAAUGUCUUUCUCUUCAACCCAUCUAUCUCUUCCUAUUACUUUGUCUAGUUCCUCCGUAGCUCUCUUGAUAAUCUCUGGCUUUUUCACAAGCUCGGAGAUUGCCCAUUCUACUGUUACUGUAGAUGUAUCUGUCCCACCUGCUAUUAAGUCCUACGAAAUAGAUAUAUAACAUAUGAUAUUGGUAUAGUCUUGUUUAGAUAAAUAGGUUAAUUGAGCAUCUAUGUAUAUAAGCAUUUAUAAGUGGGGUGCCAUUUAAUUUGGGAAAACACACUUUUUUCCUAUCAUGGGAAAGUUAAACCAAGACCAUAGAUUUAAUACUUUUUAAUUUGGAUGGCUCAUAUUCAUUACCUGUUAACUUUUUGAUGGGUUAUAUAAAACAAAAAUUGUGACCCCACCUCAUAAUUAAAUAACAUUUUCUUUUUUGUAUGUAGUAGUGGGCUUUGGCAAUAAUUUUUGGGCUUGUUAGUAAUGUUUGGGAUCAUACAUAUUAUUAUGUAUAUAAUGAAAAUGUUAACCUUACGUAUAUGGUAUUUAAAUUAGGGAAUAUGUAUUUUUUUUUUUGUUGAUACAAAGAAAAGAAAAUAAUUUUUUUUAUUUGAUUAAUGCUAAAAGGAAUUAUGAACCGAUAAAAAUGAUAGUUUAUUUGUAUGUUUGAAAAAAAACUGAUAAUCGAUUGAUUUUUAAGAAAAUGAUGUGUAAAUAAAAAAAAAACUUGGUGCAUUUUUCUUAAUUAAUAAUGUUAAUUACACAAAAAAGUAAAUCACAAUUUUUUAUUUUGUGGACUAAAUUAAACAGUACACAAUUGUUUUAAAAAAUAUGAGUUUGUUUUAGUCAUUGAACAUAAUAUCUCCUUUUUGUAAUUUGGGACAGGGUUACGGUUUGAAUGAUCAUCUUAGACAAAACCAUUUCGUUUAAGAUUGAGAAGAAUAUUUUUGUAAAUGGUAAUUAAUACAAUAUGGUACUUUUUAGUAACAAAUUAAUUUCAAGAAGAAUAUUUUUGUAAAUGAACGUACCACAUAAUGCCAAUUUUUAGUAACAAAUUAAUUGAGAAGAAUAUUCUUUCAAUCAUGGUUUUUCUUUUAUACAAAAAAUUGUAAAUAUAAUUACUGGUUACAUCGUUGAUUAGGCUGCCGUUAAUAUAAUUGUAAUUUUUGAUAAUCUGUUAAAAUAUAGUCAGUAUUAAUCAAUCAGUUUUGUGGUGUAAUGCGGAAAUGGGGAGGUGCAGUAGUAAGUUUGGAAAGAACAUUAAAAUAAUAAAUUGAGUUUUUUUUGUUUUUUUUUUUUGCAAGUUAAAAACCGACAAGUGUCCUUGGUAAAGAGACUUUCCCAUGGUGGAAAAAAAGUCUUCUUUCUCAAAUUAAAUUGCACCUAUAAGUGGAUAUAUAAAAUAAAGUCAAACUGAUUUCACAUAAACUAUAUAAUGUUAUCAUAAUUAUGGAGUUGUGAAAAUAAGCCCAAAACAACUUAUAAACAUGUCAUAAUUUGUUCUCAUAUAGCUCUUUUAAAAAGUCUCACAUGUGUUUAUAUAAAUAAACUUAAAUAAAUCAAUCCAAAUAGACUUUAAGGUCAAUAUUAUAAAGACCCUAAUUCUAAUAUUUUGAAAGAGCACAAAUUUAUUAAUACAUGAAAUGGUUGAAAAAAUACUAAGAAACUUGUGAAUGCAAUACUUCCCCUGUCCAUAUAACUGUCUUAACAUUUUCCGAAAAAACGGCCUUAUCAUUUAUUAAUUCUUGUAAAAACAGUAAUUUUAAUUGAUGUUUUUCCGCUGUACCUAUCUUUUACAAAUUCCUUUGUACCUUGUACUAUUUCACUUACACAUUAUUUCAUACAGUUUGUGUUUAGGAUAAUGAGAAUGAUUAAUGAACCUGAUUCAAACCGUAACACGAACACUAGAAAAAACCGAAUAAAUAUUAUAGAAAAAUUGUGGGAUCCAUUUAAAAUUUUAGUAAAGUUUACUAUUAAAAUAAAAAUUGAAUGAAUUGCUUCAAAGUUAUGUGCCGAAGUGAACCCACUUAAAACCUAUAAAGGAAAGUCACUAAUGGAAAAUACCCAUAGUGGAAUAGUUAGAGGUUAAUAUACAAUAAAUAAUUAAUAUCAGUAGAAAUGACAAUUAUAUAUGAAACAAAUGAGAUACUUAAAAAACAUAUAAUUAAUAUUUUUUCUAACCUGAGUAAAAGCUUUGACUCCGUGCCUCUCAAGUUUGACUUCAAGACUAGGAUUCUCUGCAAGCUUCAAAAGCACAUCCACCAUAUCUUUAGCAACAUAAUCAUUAACACAUUUCCUUCUUUCAAUGUGUUCCUCCAAUACAUGUUCCAUAAACCAAUCAAACUUCUUACCCAAAGUCUUCAUUCUCUUCACAUAACCUUGCAAGUCUAAGAAAUGAAUCCAAGGAAUAAAAUCCCCAACAUUGAGGACCCCAUUAAGCAAAAACAAUUCAUCUAACAUCUUCUUAAACUCUUCAGGGGAAAUAAUAGCAUUUUCACUCUUCUCCAAAUACUUUUUGCCCAAAACCAUGCGACUUAUAACAUUGAGACUCAAAGUUGAAAGAUGGUCCUUCAACAAAAUUGUUUUGUUUUUUGAAUUAAAUAGUUCGUGCAAGAAAGCAUGUAACUCUUGUUUUCUCAUGUACUCAUAAGACUCAAGGCGUUUUACACUAAACAGUUCUAGCAGACACAUUUUACGAGCUUGUUGCCAAUAUGGGCCAUAUUGGGACCAAGUAAUGUUGGAGUAGUUAUAAGUAGUAUAUUUUCCAGCGGAGAAUUUGGGCCGCCCAGCAAGGACAGCGUCGUUUGUUUUGAGGAAAACUUUGGCUAUUUCUGGGCUCGAUCCCACAAUGACAGGUUUAGAGCCGAACCAUAAAUGCAUGAUGGGUCCAUAUUUUUUAGUGAGCCCGUGGAGGGAUUGAUGUGGAAGUGAUCCAAUAAGAUUGAGAUUUCCUAUUAUGGGCCAUGAUUUUGGGCCAGGUGGUAGAUUGUAUUUACGGCGGUGGAGACGAAGACGGCGGCGGGUAAAGAGAAGAAGGAUGAUAAAUGUUGUAAAAAAAGUAACCCAAUUAGGAAGUGGCAAUAAUUCUACUACCAUUUCUAGUGAGUUUUGUGACUUUGUUUUGGUGUGAGAUUAGAGAGUGACUGUGAUGAAAUUAGAGAGUCAUUUAUUUAUAAUCAUAGUAGAGAAAGCUGUAGAUGAGGAUUACAUGGCCCCGUGAGUAGUGAGGCAAAAUAUCUCCAAUAGAUACACCUCUUUAUAAUCAAAUAUACUUCAUUUUCAAGCUUGUUUAAUUAUUAAACUUUAACGUAUUCAUUUAUUAAAACAAAUGGGUUCAAUCAAUGAGCAAUAAAAUAUACAUUAAUUUCUUAAUUAGGUUUAACUAACCUGUUCAAGCUUUUAUUUUAUUACAACAUGAAAGUUAUCUUGUCGGUUUGCAAACAUUAUCUUGGCAAAUCCAAAAAACUUAGUUGUUAAAAAUCAAGAAUGAGUUGGCUUGUCCAAAAAUAAUAAUUAUUGGAAGGACCACAUUGACCUAUAUAUUCUACUUGGAAGCAGUAGCGUUGCCAGGACCCUAGAUUAAGAGGUUUAAAAUUUUGAACUUUAAAAUUUUAUCUUGAACAUGUAUUUUGCUUUAAUAUUAAUAUCUUAAUAUAUCAAAAUUACAAAUACGUUCAUAAAUAUCUCUUUUAUUCGUCAUUUUAACCAUCAAAUUAGUUUUAGAUAGUCAAUUUUAUCUUAGAAUAUAUUUUGUCAUUGUUCUAUUUAAUCUAUAAAAUUACUAAAAAAAAGAUGCACUAAAGAUGUAUUUGCAAUUUCAAUACUCUUACGAAGUAUGAUAAGAUAAGAGUGUCUCACACAUUUAGGAUCAAAAAAGUUGGUUGUGUAUUUAGAGACAAAAAUAAAAGCUAAAUAUUUAAAGGUAAAUGUAGUAAAAUCAUACUCCCUCCGUCCCAAAUUAUAUGACGUUUUGGGCAUUUCACACAUAUUAAGAAAUGUAAUUAAUAUUGUGUGGGAAAGAGAUAUUAUGAGUUGUUUUACAAAAUUGUCCUCAAUAAAUGAUAUGGGAAAGAUAAAUGAAGGAAUUGAAAGAAGAGAGAGUAAUAAAUAGUUAAGGAUAUAAUAGGAAAAGUAACAUUAAUUUUUCAUUGGUAUUGUAAAGCGACAUACAAUUUGGGACAAAUAUUUUUUCUAAAGUGACAUACAUUUUGGGACGGAGGGAGUAAAAGUUUUUGUGAAAAAUCACCCCUUGUCGUUGGUACGAUAUGCUAGGAUGUUACUCUUACAAUUUUUAUUUGAAUUAUUCGGAAAAUGUUCAAUAAAUAAUUUUGUGUAAUUGUCAUUUGUAAAUAUCAAACAAUAAAUAAAUGAAAUAACAUGAUUCAUACACUGGAAUGAUAGGAGACACCAACAUAAAGCGCCUCCUCAAGAAAAAGAAAAAAGGGAGAUAUUGUUAGAUAGAAAUUUAGAAGGUGUAGGGUUCUUUGACAAAUUUUCAAGGGGUUCAAGUAGUAAUAAAUUGAGAUUAUUGGUUCAAUGUUGAAAUUUUGAGGGUGUGCAAUUGCACCCCUGGAUUAAGUGUGGCUCCGCAAGUGGUUGGGAGGGAAAUUUUAGAGAGUUUUUUGAGGAGGAUUUUGUAGGAUUUGGGUCUAUAUUUUAUUAUAUAUUUUAAAUUUUAAAAAAUUGGAAGACUAAAAUAAUAUAUGAUCACAGGCAGAAAUAUUUUAUAACUUGCUUAAUUUAAAAAAGAAAAACCAAUCCACACGUCCUCCAUUCACCAAAAUCUUCCUCCCAAAUGGGAGUGAAUUCUGUCGAUUGCCCUCCUCAUGUUUCUUUCCACCUUUGAUUUUUUUUUACUUCCUAAAAUCUCUCUUUCUCUCCUUUAAAAUAAAUGAUGGAAAUUUUAAUGGACUUUCAAGUCACAUGAAAUGACUCAUCCCCCUCCCAAACAGACUCCAAUAGUGUGUUUGAUUGUGAGAACAAAUUGAAAAGAGAGAAAGGCGUAAGAAAGAGAGUGUAAAAAAAGAAAGAGCCGAGGAAUAGAGUAAAUUUAAUGUGUGACUUUGUGAAAAUAAAAUUGUAAUGUUAGAUGAAAUUUAAAACAUUGCAAGAAACAUUGUUGGAAAUAUAUUGUAUUAUAGUCUUUAACUCGAUUCUAAUGUUGGAAACAAAAAAUUGUAUUGUUUUGAAAAACCGUCCAAACCAAUCCAAUCCAAACCGCAUUAGUUUGGUUCGAAUUUUAUUUUAAAAGUCAACCGAACCAAACCAAACCGCAUGCAUUUUUAUCAUGCGGUUCAGAUGACUUUUAACCUCAUAACCGAACCAAACCACACAUAAAAAAAUUUCAUCAGCAUUUUUAGUCCUUGUAAAAAAAUUUCGUCAACAUUUUUGGUCCCUAAAAUGCUUAAAAAAAAUGUCACGGAAACUAAAAAAUGAUUUUAUUUUGUAGAGACUAAAAACAAAAUUCUUAUAUUUAUAAAGACCAUUUACUUAAUUAACCUUACAAUUCAAACCCAUUCAUUAUGUUUUCAAGCACCUUCCCUUCUAAGCAAUAAGGAAAAGUCACAUAAGAGUACCAAAUGCAUUCCAUCAAAAAACAAAAAACAAGAGAUAGCAUAAUAUAAUAUACUAUUAUUUAAUAUUACAAACUCUAUAACAACUACAUCCUUCAGUUACUAUUAUAAGCAAAAAUUCAUAUUUUAGGUUCAUUCAAUAAAUGAUGUAUGUGACCUACAUUAUAAAUCACAUACAUCAUUUAUUGAAUGAAUCUAAAAUAUAAAUUUUUGAUGGAAUAUACUAUUGCACUCAUUACUAACCAACUUUCCAACAUCGUAUAUUCUUCAUUAUUACGCUUGCUUUUUUCUUUCUUCUCUUGUCAUGAAGUUAAUAACAUUGAACUCACAAAAAUCCCAUUAUUCCCAAUAUUAUUAGAGAAAAAUACUUAGAGGCAAUAAAGAUGAUACGGAAGUUUAGGCUCCAAAACAACUUCUAAUGGUAUUUUCUUAGGUGUAGUGAGCCCAAAAAUCUCCUCCAUAUUUAAAUCCUCUUUUUUCAUAUCAUUAGGUAAUCUCCAAUUAAAUCCAUGCAACAAGUUAGCCAAACUUGAUUGAACCACCUUAAGACCAAGAGGAUAACCAGGACACAUCCUUCUACCAGCACCUAAUGGCAACAUCUUAUAAUCAUGUCCUUUUAUUAUAUCUAUAUCAUUGUUAAUAAACCUCUCUGGUAUAAAUUCAUAUGGAUUAUCCCAACUAUCAGAAUCUCUUCCAAUUGUCCAAGUAUUGACAAGAAUCAUAGUCCCUUUUGGUAUAUCAUAACCAUCAACAUUGCAAUUCUCAGUAGCUUCUCUUGGCACUAACAUUGGUGUCACAGGAUGAAGCCUCAUUGUUUCUUUAGCAAUUGCAAAAACAUAAGGUAAAUUGACAAUGUCUUUCUCUUCAACCCAUCUAUCUCUCCCUAUUACUCUAUCUAGUUCCUCUGUAGCUCUCUUGAUAAUCUCUGGCCUUUUCACAAGCUCAGAAAUUGCCCAUUCUAUUAUUACAGAAGAGGUAUCUGUCCCAC
RNAcentral lists this long non-coding RNA (14493 nucleotides) under Medicago truncatula (barrel medic). Its description in RNAcentral is "long non-coding RNA (MTRU_LNC005939)". The record is from RNAcentral. Lineage: Eukaryota; Viridiplantae; Streptophyta; Magnoliopsida; Fabales; Fabaceae.